Portunus trituberculatus (swimming crab) is the source of this 2725-nucleotide RNA transcript. It is a transcript of the gene named glutamate receptor ionotropic, delta-2-like, with no coding region annotated. The record is from RefSeq and is a predicted model, not a curated record. The transcript is spliced from 4 exons. Lineage: Eukaryota; Metazoa; Arthropoda; Malacostraca; Decapoda; Portunidae.
AACAUCUCGGAACCAUUAGAUUAAGUUCGUCCUUUGCUCCUCUUCACCAUUUGUUCUCCUUCCAUCCUCACCUGCUUUACUUUCUUCACUACUAGCAAUCUUCAGAUGAAACAGUUUUUCAUUACUUUUUUUUUUCACUGCCUCCCUUAUUCCUUCCCUCCAUUCCAUUUCUUUGCUCUUUGUUAUUUUUCCUUUUCUUUUUUAUUCCAUUUCUUCGUCUCUUACUGUCCUUCCUUCCUUCUUUCCUUCGUGUUCUCCUUCACAGCCUUUCUCUCAUACACUCCAAUCAUUCAGUGAGCGAAUCCUGUCUUCAUUCCUGUCUCUUCAUUUACUUCUCUCUCACGCUUUCUUUUCUUCGUUCCUUUCCUUUCUCUUCUCAGAUCUCCUCGCAUACACUCCACGGUCAUUCAGUCUUGUCUUUUCUUUCUUCCCUCUCUUUUUCCUCCCUUACUCCUUAACUUCCCUCCCUCUUUUCUCUCCUUCCUAUCCCUCCAAAUCUUCUUGUCCUACAUUCCAGUUUGUGAUGUUGUCCUAUAUUCUUUUUUCUCCUGGACUUUCAAUGAAGAUAUCCAACUUUCCUCCCGUCUCUCUCUCUCUUUUUUUUUUACAUCCUUACGUCCAUUCCUCUCUCCUUCCUUCCUCCUCUCUCUUGACUUCCUUCCGUCCAUUACUCUCUCCCGCUCAAUCCUCUUCACACUCCACUGGCUUCCCUCCUCUCUGACAGAUGUUGGUUGGGUGGUGGUGGGUGUUCUGCAUGUUGCUCACCGCUGCUUACCGCUCGUCCCUCAUCGCCCACCUCUCCGUGCCUGACAAGUCCCCGGCCAUCAACACACUGGAGGAGCUGCUGCGACAGGAAGGCUGGACGUGGGGCAUGGAGGGUACCUAUGGCUCCGGGUGGCAGUGGUUCAAGGAAAGCUCUGUACCCACUGUCAGGCAGGUGUACGCCGGGAUACAGGUGCUGGGGGCAGAGGAACACCUGGCGCGGGUGCUUGAGGGUCAUCACGCCUUCCUCACCUGGAAAUACUACAUACGUUCGCUAAUAGGGGCCCACUACACCAACCGGCUGGGCUACACACCACUACACACCAGCCGGCAAGAGUAUAUUAACUAUGGUGGUUAUGGAUGGGGGUUUAGACGACGCUUGCCACCUGCACAACGCCACACCACACGCCACACGCCAAACACCGGCUUUGUGGUGGCACUGCCUCGGGCCAGCACUCUCCUGCCCGCCCAGUUUUCACUUCAGCCUUUUAUUUCCUUAUCAGUACAACAGUGAAGUGAAAAUAACUGGAAAUCAACGUUUUUUUUUAUUUCCUAUUUUGUAAUGACUCAUCCCGUAGAAGAGGCGGGGUGUUUCAAGUAGGUGAAAAUAUCCGUGAUGAAAUCGAUAAGACCAAUAUUGAUUUGAGUGAAAUAGUUCAUGCGAGAAAGAGAGAGAGGCGGUUGGUAGCAGGAAACACUGGAGGGCAGAGGUAGUGCAGGUUGAUGGCAUGGUCAGGGGCGUGGUACAGUGUGGCCUGGAAACAUGGAGCAUCGGCAUAACGUAAAAGAGAAACGCCCGGGAAGUUUAGACAAUGUGUACGAAUAAAAGUGUUAGACAUCAAUGAAUGGUUGGGUUAGUUUAAUUGAUUCAUUACGCUAUAGGUGAGAGCGUUCGAUAAUAGUUCUAAAUUAAGCCAGUAAUGGAAAAGACUGGAGAGAAUUCACGACUGAUACGAAAAGUUGGAAAGAUAAUGAACUAACUCGAAAAAAAAGAAGAUAUGAAAAAAGUUUAAAGGGGGAUGAAGGGAAUAUGCAAGAAAGGAUGUUAUAGAAGAUACAAAGAGCAAAUAAGACGAGAUGUGAGAAAAUGAAAUAUGAGGUGAAAGGUACAUACAUGGAAAGGUGUUUAUAAGAUUUUCAAGAAGCAAAUAGGACGGGAUGUGAAAAGUAGAGCAUGAGGUGAUGGGUGUUUAAGAAGGUACACAUAAAGCAAAUAAAACGUGAUGUGAAAUAAAUAGGACAUGAAGUGAAGGAAAUAUACAUAGAUGUUGUUUAUAUAUAGUGCAAGAAGCAAAUAAGACGGAGUGUAAAAUAAAUAAAUAAAUAAAUAAAUGAAUAAAUAAAACAUGAGGCAAUGUGUGCUAUAGAAGAUACAAUAAAAAAAUAGAACGGGAUGCAAAACAAAACAACUCGUGGUUGCUGAAAAAAAGAAAAUGGAAUGGUACUUAUAUAGACUGAUUGAUAGUUAUAUUUAAUAUUUUGACUGAAUCGUGGACUCAUAUAAGAUUCAGACAUUCAAGCUUCCCCCGGAAAGUAUCCUUACCAAAUAACGAUUAAUUUUGACUCUGAACGAAGAAAGUUAAAAAAAAAAAAAAAAAAAAAAAACGUACUUCGAGCUCAAAUAUGAUACCUUCGGCGCAUCACUUAAGGGUUCGAAUCACGGAACGAUACAACACUUGAACUUCGUGAUGCUUCAGACAACCGGCUUGCCAACUGUACCGAAACUGCUGUAGUCACUCUGCAUUGACACUCGGCGUUCACGAGAAUGUACAUAUUUUUUUUUAUGUGACUAAAUACGAGACGAACGGACCAAGAAUAGGAAGAAAGAAGGAAGGGCGCGCCCAUCCGCCACAGCAUUGACCGGAUGAAGCAGAGGCUAUUGGAGGCGGGGUUGGUCAAGCAUUGGAUGGACGACCUCAUUGCCACGGCUAGCAGGGCAGCCCGUGCCUUGAGCACCUCCCGC